GAUGAACGCUGGCGGCGUGCCUAAUACAUGCAAGUCGAGCGAACAGACGAGGAGCUUGCUCCUCUGACGUUAGCGGCGGACGGGUGAGUAACACGUGGAUAACCUACCUAUAAGACUGGGAUAACUUCGGGAAACCGGAGCUAAUACCGGAUAAUAUAUUGAACCGCAUGGUUCAAUAGUGAAAGACGGUUUUGCUGUCACUUAUAGAUGGAUCCGCGCCGCAUUAGCUAGUUGGUAAGGUAACGGCUUACCAAGGCGACGAUGCGUAGCCGACCUGAGAGGGUGAUCGGCCACACUGGAACUGAGACACGGUCCAGACUCCUACGGGAGGCAGCAGUGGGGAAUAUUGCACAAUGGGCGGAAGCCUGAUGCAGCAACGCCGCGUGCGGGAUGACGGCCUUCGGGUUGUAAACCGCUUUCGCCUGUGACGAAGCGUGAGUGACGGUAAUGGGUAAAGAAGCACCGGCUAACUACGU
This 476-nucleotide ribosomal RNA is filed under the name uncultured bacterium. Its description in RNAcentral is "partial 16S ribosomal RNA". It matches the Rfam family "Bacterial small subunit ribosomal RNA", at positions 28 to 506 of the family's 1533-position model. The record is from RNAcentral.